AACGAACGCUGGCGGCAUGCCUAACACAUGCAAGUCGAACGAGACCUUCGGGUCUAGUGGCGCACGGGGGCGUAACGCGUGGGAACCUGCCCCUAGGUGCGGAAUAACUCCCCGAAAGGGGUGCUAAUACCGGAUAAAGUCUUCGGACCAAAGAUUUAUCGCCUUUGGAUGGGCCGGCGUCGGAUUAGCUAGUUGGUAGGGUAAAAGCCUACCACGGCGACGAUCCAUAGCUGGUCUGAGAGGAUGAUCAGCCACACUGGUACUGAGACACGGCCCAGACUCCUACGGGAGGCAGCAGUGGGGAAUAUUGGACAAUGGGCGAAAGCAUGAUCCAGCAAUGCCGCGUGAGUGAUGAAGGCCUUAGGGUUGUAAAGCUCUUUUACCCGGGAUGAUAAUGACAGUACCGGGAGAAUAAGCACCGGCUAACUACGUG
Molecule: ribosomal RNA, 433 nt
Filed under: uncultured bacterium
Lineage: Bacteria
Description: partial 16S ribosomal RNA
Rfam family: Bacterial small subunit ribosomal RNA
Source: RNAcentral